AUUGAACGCUGGCGGCAGGCUUAACACAUGCAAGUCGAACGAGGGGCGGACGGGUGAGUAAUGCUUGGGAAUCUCGUAUAUGGCGGGGGAUAACUACGGGAAACUGUACCAAAUACCGCGUAGCAGAGGCUGAGCCCAAGUGGGAUUCGGUAGUUGGUGAGGUAAAGGCUCACCAAGCCGACGAUCACUAGCUGGUCUGAGAGGAUGACCAGCCACACUGGAACUGAGACACGGCCCAGACUCCUACGGGAGGCAGCAGUGGGGAAUAUUGCGCAAUGGGGGCAACCUGACGCAGCCAUGCCGCGUGAAUGAUGAAGGUCUUCGGGUCGUAAAGUUCUGUCAUUAGCGAGGCGUUAACUACAGAGGAAGCCCCGGCUAACUCCGUGCCAGCAGCCGCGGUAAUAC
This 405-nucleotide ribosomal RNA is filed under the name uncultured bacterium. Its description in RNAcentral is "partial 16S ribosomal RNA". It matches the Rfam family "Bacterial small subunit ribosomal RNA", at positions 30 to 526 of the family's 1533-position model. The record is from RNAcentral.